AAGGCUGGGAGGCGCUGGGCUGAAAAAGGUUGAGAAACACUGGCUUAGGAGAUCAAGAAUCGAACAGUUUGGAGGAAGAGCGGAGACAGACACAAUCCAAGAUGCUUUGGGUACAUCGCAAAAUUUCCACAUUGGUGAAUAUUUAGGGAGCCACGUGACAUGCAAUGCAAUCACGUACCACAAACUUUUAGAAGGAAUGCCUCUCUGCAGACAAGCUUUAUGGAUAUCGAUUUCAUUUUCCAGCAGGACUUCACAUCUGCCAAAGACCAUGCGCUCAAUUGGCCAGUUUUUCUUUUCUUACCUGAAUCCCACAGUGAAUCUGUCAAGUAUUGUCAAGAAGAGAAACACUUGACCAAACAAUCCAAAUAAGCUGAAGGUUAGAAGCUGGACUUACUUAUGACCUCAGCAAUGCCACAGGCUGAGUCCAUGCCACACUUGACUGAUCGAGCAAUUUAUGCAAACAGUACCCAGACUAAGUACUAUGCAUAAACCUUACUGUAUGUAGAUAUACUUUUUGGUGGGCAGACAUCUAUGCAUCAAAAAUUAGUUUUUACUGACUUUUGUCCCAUUCAAGUUAUUAGAAAACGAAUAUUUUAUUAACUACAAGUUCUAAUCAUCAAAAGGUUAUUACUAAAUAACCACCAGAAAUAUAGCACAAAUUAAUCUGUAUAGAGUUUAAAACAAACAUUUUGAUGACUAACCUUACUGGGAGGUAUAAUUGAGCUACUUAUAGACUGUGUACUUAACUGACUCAUGCCAUCCAAACAAAACAAAGCCAUUUCAUAACCUGCUCAUUCCUUUGUGUGUAUUCAGGACCAGUACAUAUUUAUUCAUCACUGUCUGCUACACUGGCUGAGCGGAGGAGCAUCAGCAAGCAGGCAACAGAUGCAAGUCCCGGAUUUGAGUUCUAACCAACACAAAAACGAUCAACCUCAGAGCUCACGGAGGAGGAGGCGACACAGCUCUCAACAGAAACCUCCAGCAGCCCAACCCCAGAACACACUGCAGCAGAUUUUUAAACCUGGGAACCUACUGAGGAGGUUAAUACCCUCCUUAUCACAGAUGAAUCCAAACUCACAAAACGCCUGAAGAUAUCUUCUGAAAAAAGGCAUGGAA
Non-coding RNA from Poecilia reticulata (guppy), 1116 nucleotides. NCBI's taxonomy places the organism in Eukaryota, Metazoa, Chordata, Actinopteri, Cyprinodontiformes, Poeciliidae. The record is from RefSeq and is a predicted model, not a curated record.